Molecule: long non-coding RNA, 378 nt
Organism: Ornithorhynchus anatinus (platypus)
Lineage: Eukaryota; Metazoa; Chordata; Mammalia; Monotremata; Ornithorhynchidae
Exons: 4
Source: RefSeq, a predicted model, not a curated record
GCUGCUAUAUGGGGAACUAAGUCUGGCAGUGAGAGGAGUGGGUGAAUAAAGAGAAGAAGAAGGAAGAGAAAGUUCUCACACCUCAGUGAGGAAAAUCCUCUAAUCUGCUUGGGCCUGAAACCAUUGCGUUAGUCCCUUUGGACCCUCCUCUUCUUCCUACCCUGGAAUGAACCUCUCGCCGCUUACAGAUGCUGAGAAAUUGCCGUCUGUGGGAUUAAGUAGAAUUCAGAACCCGAUCUUGAGGUGAGGGGAAAGGAGAAGAAUGGAAGCAGUGGCUGGAAGGGGAAGAAGAGACAAGAGAGAACGCGAGAUGUGAAGGAGAGUGGGAAGGAAAACAUAAAUAUUUCUCACACUUACUAAAAGCAAUAAUAAUCAUAA